GUUACUUCUAUGAGGCUUUUGUGCUUUUUUUUUCUCCCCCUCUGCAGGGUGUGGAUAUAGGGCAGGGGCCUGGGUUGAACAGUUUAAACGGUGACCAAGUUACUUGUUUUGAUCAUUGGAUCCUCUUCCUUAUACGUCACUCUGAAGUGAAAAUAGUGGCACUAGUCAUAAAAUUCCACUCCAGGCUUGGCAGGUUUAACCUGGCCUUGGUUUUGAAAUCUCUGUAGCAUCAAAUGUGAUGCCAGAUCUAUAUAGACAGAGCAUGACAUGUGAGUUCUCUCUUUUUCUGUUCGAUCAAGAUCGCGUCAAAGAAAACCCAACCUCUGUGCGAAGGCGGAGUCCAGUUUUGCUAGAACAGCUGAAAAGAAUUUAACCCAGUAUUGUCAGGAUAACGGCCUCAAUGUCUCCUCUCUGCACAAUUUCAGUUGAGAGACCCCCUCGCCCCAAACCUCUGUGGGUGAGUGAGCAAAAAGUGCAGCGGAAAAAGACUCAGAACUUCGUGGAGGAAGGGCACUGUGAAAGUCAAAAUUGCCACAACCACCUUUUGUGUUUGUAUCUCUCUCACUUGGCAGAAGACCGAUGGCCAGGUGGACCCAGGUUCCUGGUCAUGCAGGAACAUCUGAUGCUUCCCCUGAGGCAGCCCACUGUUGUGCUUGUCAUAUCACUUGGGUGCCUGUAGACAUCUGUAUGCUUCUCCAGCUGCGUGGGAGACACACUUCACCUUGUGGCUCCUCCUUUCAAAGGUUGCAUGUGCUGUAUGGAGGAACAGUUGACUUUGCUGAUAGAGAACGUCUCAUUGCACCCCCUUUCCACACCAUCUGUCUGACCUGGACCCAUUCCAAACACUACGGCUUUGCUGGCAGAAUGGUCUUCCUGCUACAGAAGUUUUGUAAUCUGCUAAUUGACAGGGUAAGGAAAAUUUAUAUUUGGGUUACAGCUGAAAAGUUGGAUGUUUCUUUGAUGGGGCUUUAAAUACUGACAUAUGCUGCCUUGGUUUUUGAUUUUAGGCAUCCCCGUCUGAGCACAAUCACGCACUCUCCCCUGUGUUCUCUGCCUCAUUGAGAAUAUGGCAGCCUUUGGAGAAGAACACCAAUAUGAUCUACUAGGGAAUUAUCAUCUACUUAGUUUACUCAUUAAGCAAUGAUUUUAUUAUUAUUAUCUCUCUGUAGUAUGAGACAGAUGGCAAAGAAGGAGUUUGCUUUAUUGAACAAGAUGCAGUAUUGGGCAUGGCACAGCUCCCUGAAUGGUUAACAUCUUCUGCAGUCUAAUAAGCAUCUUCGCUUUUGUACAGGGUCUGAUUCUACACUCAGCUGUUAAUUUAAGUGCAAGGCUGUUAUCGGUUCUUUUUUUUUUCAGGGAUAGCGUCUCACUAUGUGUCCCCAGGUUGGAGCACAGUGGGGCUAUUCACAGAUAUGAUCACAGCAUACUUUAGCCUCUAACUCCUGGGCUCAAAUGAUUCUCUGCUCAGCCUCCUGAGUAGUCAAUUCUUUUUUUUCUAUAGGUGGGCUGAGGACAGAAAAAUCCUAAAGAUGGAAGUAUCAUUAAAAUCGUGCUGAUCCAGUUGAGGUUUGUGGUUGCCCUCAUCUUGCAAUUGUGCUUUAAAACUCAGUGUGAGCAACCCCCACUGAAGUGAGUACAGUUAUGCUUACUGAUCCAGACCUGAGUCCUUCAAAUGGGGUCCUCUGUGUGCAAAAGCUACAUGCACACGCUUCAGGUGGUGCACGAGUGUGGUAUAACAUCGUGCUUCGGGACUCCUGGGGCCCCUCUCUCAGUUGCAGCCCCCUCAACCUGCCUUUGAACAAUAAUCAGCAGAAAGAGGAGAAUGAAAGAGAAGAAAGAAUUUCUUCCAUACCUUUCAAAACUUCAAAGAAGUUGUUCCCAAUCUGUUUCUGAUGAUUCUUGUCUCAGUGCAAAGCAUGUAUAAAUAUCUGAAAUCUGCACACUGAUCGGAAAUAGUUUUUGGGAAGUUGGAUUUAAUCCCAUGAGCCAAAUGAUCACUACCAACAGCGAUCAGGGAAAACCAAAGUUCACAGCAAAUUUUAAUUUGGCAAAUGCACAAAAUGUUCAAAAGAGCAGAGGUCUCAUUUACAUUCUUCUCUCUUAUAUGGGAUUUUCUUCUAUAUUAGUAAUUAAAGGGUGCAGGCUAUUGAGUGCAACUAUAUCGCAUAAUAGCCAUCGGGGGACAUACUAACAACUUCCUUGAAGUAACGCACACUAGGGUGUUUAUGGUUCAGUGUCACAUAGACUCUCUUUGAUCUAAAUUAGGAUUCAUUGGCAAACUCACAAUAGGCUCCACAUGUACCCCUCUCAACCUCUUUCUUUUAAUCAUGGAAAUUAGAGAUGGAAAAUACCCAUUAAGUCACUUAGUCCAUUUCCCUGUUAGGGCGAAAUUGUUGCCUGUGAUACAUGGGUAGUGCCUGGUCCAGCUUAAAUGUAAACGUCUCAGGCAGUGUGCAGGCUCCUGAUUUUAUCAUUUUCUUCUUUCUCUUCAGAGAGGAAUUCAGAGGGGAAAAAAAUAUAAAACAGAGGGAGAGGUUUCCUCCCCUCCUUAUGGGUUGGAGGUAAUGGUCAUGGGAUGGGCAAAUGUGCUCAGAUGCUGUCAUCUUUCUGGAAACCACACCUCUUGCUAUGGCAGUUCCAUCACUUGUGACGUACACAGAUAAUUCAGUCCCGUCCCCAACAUGUUUUACUCUUCAGCUCAACGGAAUGAUUCCGAUUCCUGAAAUAUCCUGUAAACUUGAGUGAGCAAGUAUUCCAGGUUUGGUGGGGAGGACGAGGCCCAGGAAAGGAGAACUGGUCUCUUUUAGGCUCCCUCUUUGAUGAGUUCUAAAUGGCACAGCCCUCCCAAGUGGAGUGUGAAGUCACGGGUGCAGUGUGAGUUCACGACUGGGUCACUGCCUAUCUUAUUCUGGGAGGUGGCCAGGGGAGGUAUUUUUAUCCUUUGAACAUUUGGCACCUGAAGGAUGUGAAAUAUGUGUCAUUGCACAGUGAAUUCCCUCCCUGACUCAUGUUCCGCAACAGAAGGGAAAUUGUCACUCAGCAUCUGCCCACAUCUCUAGCUGUUGAAGUGAGGUCUAUGGGAAAGCUGCAAAAACCCAGUGACCAACUCUCCAGCGAGAUCUCCAGGGGACAUAUAGCAGUGGCCGAGAUGAGACUUUGAAAGGGAAAUCAGGAGCCAUUAUUAGGUUUGCAUUUUGAAUUUGUUUUAGAGAUAUUCUUUUAAUCUGUUAACAUCACUAGUGAAAUUGUACUGCCUUAGGAAAAUCGGAGAAGUGAACAUUUCUAAUUCUGAUCCAGAUGUGUUAGAGUGUGAUUGUUCACAUUAUAAGAUGGAUGUCUUACCUCCAUAAUUCACUGUGGGUUUCAUUCAGUGGGCUUGACUCAUGCAUCUGAAGGAGGAUCAGGUUUGCAAAAGACAACAUACUUAUUGAGAGGCUUCUGAUUGUCUAAAGCAAUGGCAGGUUUCUAUUAGACAGAAAAAGUGCUUAUAUUCACAGAGAGAUCACGUUCAGGGCUUCUAUCAUGUGUAAUGUAUUCCCAAGAUAUUUCUCGUUUUUUUUUUUGGAGGCAGAGUCUCACUCUGUCACCCAGGAUGGAGUGCAGGGGUGCUAUCUCGGCUCACUGCAAACUCUGCCUCCUGGGUUCAAGCGAUUCUCCUGCCUCAGCCUCCCAAGUAGCUGGGACUACAGGUGUGUGCCAUCACACCUGGCUAAUUUUUUAUUUUUAGUAGAGACGGGGUUUCACCAUGUUGGCCAGGCUGGUCUCAAACUCCUGACCUCAGGUGAUCUGCCCGCCUUAGCCUCCCAAAGUGCUGGGAUUACAGGUGUGAGUCACUGCAUCCCGCUGAUAUUUCUUAUUUUAAAUCCCCUUGGGUGGUAGUAUAUAAUGAGUCUUUGAAUGGAUACACGCAUACGAAAUCAGAAUCAGUUCUAACUCGAUGGUCUAGAGUCAGAAUCUACUGAAUGCAAUUCUGAUAUGGAAUCCUAUCCUCUGCUAAUGAAAAUCUCAAGUUUUAAGGCAGAUGUGGCAGAGGCUGCUUGUUGUUCUCCCAGUAACCAGUCUUCCUGAUUUUUAGUGCCUGCAUUUCCCACCCACCAGCAUGGCUGGAUAACUGUAUUCUGGCCAAUGUGAUGUAGGGGGAAGUGGCGCAGGACAUUCCUGGAUGGUGUCCUUAUAGAGCACCAUGGAAUCCCCUGCUCUCCCUCACUGUCAGCUGGAAAGCGGCCGUGGUAGCUGCAGCUCUAGCUGCCACUUUAAAUCCCAGGGAUGAGGAUCACAUCCUAGGAACACCUGGAAGGUGCCUGAGCCCAUAUAAUUUCAUGGAGUGUCCAGACUAACCCUAGAGACCCUUCCUCUGGACAUUUUUGUACAUGUAUAAAUAAAACCUAGAACAUUAAAGUCACUGUUUUCUGAGGGGUUUUGUCGCCCAAAUCUAACCCUAAAGCUAAUUUUGUCAUUGGUCUUAAUCCUUAUUUUUUUAUUUGUGCUUUGUUUUUUUUUGAGACGGGGUCUCACUCCGUUGCCCAGGCUGGAGUGCAGUUGCAUAAUCUCAGCUCACCACAAUCUCCAUCUCCUGGGCUCAAGCCAUCUUCCCACCUCAGCUUCCUGAGUAGCUAGGACUACAGGCAGAUUUUUGUAUUUUUUGUAGAGAUGAGGUCUCCCUCUAUUGCCCAGCCUGGUCUCAAACUCCUGAGCUCAAGCUGUGUGCCUGCCUGGGGCUCCCAAAGUGCUGGGGUUACAAGUGGGAGCCACUACACCUGGCCUUAAUCUUUACUUUGAUGCAUACUUAACACCUUGUUACAAAGUCUAGGUGUUUCAGUUUCAGUUGAUAGUCAAUCCUGGUUGAUAGUCAUGUUACAUUUAUUACUCAGUUGAUAAUCGUGUUACAGUAGAAAUCGUGUUUCAUUUACUCCUCUGAACAUGACCUUGAAAGGUUUGCAGAUAAAGGUGCAUGAAAGAACCCCAAACUUACAGAUUCCCAAAAAUGUGAUUAGGCAAAAUAACAAGAUAGACAUUGAGAGUGGGAGGCCUUGUUCAGUUUCUUGCAUCCAUUCUGUUCACAACAUGUAGAAAUGUGUACUUUCAUUCCAUAAGGGGUUUAAUGAGAACCCAGGCAAAAAAUAAUGGUUGCUAUAAAUAGAAUUAAAGAGUGAGGGCAAGGAAAAAAACAUGAGUCAGGACCAGGUAUAGGUAAAAAUGAAUGGAGGGACAGAUAGGUGAGUUCUGAAG
Molecule: long non-coding RNA, 5229 nt
Filed under: Callithrix jacchus (white-tufted-ear marmoset)
Lineage: Eukaryota; Metazoa; Chordata; Mammalia; Primates; Cebidae
Description: lncRNA (ENSCJAG00000080870.1)
Source: RNAcentral